GGCGGGGAAUGUGAGCGCGGAAGUCCCCGCCCCCGGGCUGCUGGGUGGUGGCGACGGCGGCGGCCCGCAAGGAUUUGAAACCGUUUCGCGGUGGCGGCGGCGGGGGUGGCGGCGCGGCGGCCGACCGGAAAGCUUGCAUACUGAAUUAUGGAAAUGGGAAGUGAAGAAGAAAAGUGGGAGAAGCUGGAUGCAGAAUUUGAUCACUUUGUGGUAGAUAUGAAGCCCUUUGUUCUAAAAUUACCUCAUAGGUCAGAACGACAGAGGUGUGCGCUUUGGAUCAGAAAGCUGUGUGAGCCUUCAGGAACAGGUGCAGGACUAAUGGGCAGGAAGAAUCGGAACCUGUAUGCCAAACUGUUACUGCAUAUGCUUAAGCGAGGAGCUCUCGAAGGUCCCUUUACACACCGACCGGAACCAGGCACGCUGAAAACCUUACCUUCCUACAUGUCCAUCUAUUUUGAUGAACCAAAUCCAGCACAAGCAAAAGUUUCAAGCCCGGAAGGAUUACCAGACUGGGUAAUGGGUGAGCUGGGAACCAGUGACCACAAAUUAAAUGAAUCGUGGAAGCUUUCUUCUGGAGAAGAUUACUCUUUGGUGCAGUCGCCGACUGAUGUGCACAGUAGGAACCAAUAUACUGCGAAGCUCCAAACAAGAUCACAUUCUGUGAGUCCAACCUCCAGAGAAGAUGGACAAAAUAUUACCCCAAAGAGUUGUGAAGUUCAUCCCCAAAGAUCUGCUCUUUCUUUGGAUGACAGCGACAUCGAAGCUCGCCUUAAUAGUUGGAAUCUUGGGAUAGAAAAUCCUCGGUACCUGAGACAGAAGCCUAUCCCAGUUGCUCUGAUGACCCCCAAAUUUAGCCUGAGAAAAUCCAGCAGCCUCCAUGAUGAUCCUCUACUCUUCCGAAUGCACGAGAAAGAGUUGGACAUAAAAACAAAAAUGAUAGAAGCCAAAUGCCACGAGGAGAAGCUGAAACUGCAGCAGAAACAUGAUGCCGAUGUUCAGAAGAUUUUAGAAAGAAAGAAUAAUGAAAUAGAAGAAUUGAAAAUUUUAUACAAAAAGAAACAAAAUGAAAUGGAGGAGACUGUUAGAAAACUUGAAAAGAAAGUUCAGAUCCUUAUACGUGACUGUCAAGUUAUCAGAGAGACCAAAGAAAACCAGAUUACAGAGCUAAAAAAGAUAUGUGAACAGAGUACCGAAUCUCUGAAUAAUGACUGGGAAAAAAAGCUCCACAAUGCCGUGGCAGAAAUGGAAAAGGAGAAGUUUGAUCUUCAAAAGCGGCACACGGAAAAUAUUCAAGAGUUGCUCGAGGACACAAAUGUACGUCUGAAUAAAAUGGAGGGUGAAUACAUGGCACAGACACAGUCCACGAACCAGAUGGUCAAGGAACUGGAGUCCCGUGUCCAGCAGCUGACUGGAGAAGCAGAGAACAGUAAUUUACAGAGACAGAAAUUAAUUCAAGAAAAAUUGGAACUUGAGAGAAUUUACCAGAUAGCAUGUAAUGAAUUACAAGAAGUAAAGGCAAGGCGCAACUCACUACAUAAAGAGAAAGAUCACCUUGUGAAUGAUUAUGAACAAAACAUGAAACUAUUACAAACCAAAUAUGAUGCUGAUAUAAACCUUCUGAAAAAGGAGCAUGCUGUUUCAGCUUCUAAGGCAUCUGGUAUGAUUAAAGAACUAGAACAGAACAUCUGUCAAUUAAAACAGCAGCUCCAGGAAUCAGAACUUCAAAGAAAGCAACAGCGAAGGGAUCAAGAAAAUAAGUUUCAAAUGGAGAAAAGUCAUUUAAAACACACCUAUGAGAAAAAGACUCAUGACCUGGAGAGUGAACUUGGUAAAGAGAAAGAAGAAGCUCAAAAGAAAAUCCAUAAACUUGAGGAAGCACUGAAGGAGAAAGAGGAGCAGCUGACUCGUGUGACUGAAGUUCAGAGGUCACAGGCCCAGCAGGCGGAUGCUGCCCUGGAAGAGUUUAAGCGGCAGGUGGAACUGAACUCAGAGAAAGUGUACGCUGAAAUGAAAGAGCAGAUGGAAAAAGUAGAAGCAGACCUAACCAGAUCCAAGUCUCUUCGUGAGAAACAGUCAAAGGAGUUUUUAUGGCAGCUGGAGGACGUCAAACAACGAUACGAACAGCAGAUAGUAGAGCUGAAGCUGGAGCAUGAACAGGAGAAGACGCACCUAUUACAGCAGCAUAACGCAGAGAAGGAUAGCCUAGUCCGAGACCAUGAACGGGAAAUUGAAAACCUGGAAAAACAGCUUCGCGCUGCCAAUAUGGAGCACGAAAAUCAAAUUCAAGAGUUCAAGAAACGAGAUUCACAGGCUAUUGCCGACAUGGAAGCCCAAGUUCACAAGUUGAGAGAAGAGCUGAUUCAUGUGAACUCACAGCGGAAACAGCAGCUGGUGGAACUCGGCCUUCUUCGUGAAGAGGAGAAGCAAAAGGCUGCAAGGGACCACGAGACCGCGGUCUAUAAGCUGAAGGCCGAGUCAGAAAAGAUGAAGUUGGAGCUGAAGAGGGCUCAUGCCGCCGAGACAGACGUGGCAUUGGAAAAGGCCAACAGCAGGCUGAAGCAGAUCGAGAAGGAAUACACCCAGAAGCUCGCCAAAUCCUCACAGAUCAUAGCAGAACUUCAGACAACCAUUUCCUCUCUGAAAGAGGAGACCAGCCGGCUGCAGCUUGCUGCAGAAAGGCGGCUCCAGGACGUUACACAGAAGUUUGAAGAUGAGAAGCAGCAGCUGAUUAGAGAUAAUGACCGAGCAAUCAAGGCUUUGCAAGACGAACUAGAAAACCGCUCUAACCAAGUGCGAUGUGCAGAGAAGAAACUACAACACAAGGAACUGGAGUCACAGGAACAGAUAACUUAUAUACGGCAAGAAUAUGAAACGAAAUUCAAAGGAUUGAUGCCAGCAUCUCUAAGGCAAGAGCUUGAAGACACCAUUUCCUCCCUCAAGUCACAGGUUAACUUUCUGCAAAAGCGAGCGUCCAUCCUUCAGGAAGAACUGACGACCUACCAAGGCAGAAGGUAACUGCACGGAGGCUUACCUGAGUAGCACAGGCAAAGGUGGCAGACGCACCCGGGCUUAUACUGUGGACUUCUUCCAGCAGAUCUUACCGAACACUGCAGUUGAUGGAUUGAUCCGACCUGGUGAUCGGCUUGUGUGUCGGAAACAUCAGAAGCGUUGGUUUGCCCGGAGUUCAGCUCUGUUCAGCACGCAGAGCCUGACACAGUAAGGGGGGAAAGGAAACUAGAAAAGACAUCGUCUCCCCAGGAAGAGGAAGUCUUUUCCUAACAGGGCGGUAGAGAGUCCCGAACGUCUUGCGCUUCUUGCGGAAAUACCUUGACAUCGACAAAGAUGUCUCAGAAGCGAGUCUGCAUUCCCCGGUUUGGCUUCACGCACGUUGACUGAAGCUGUCACUUACCUGACAUCAGCCCUGAUGUCGCUCUUCAAGUUCCCUGCAAAGUCAGGUUGCAGUCCAGCGUCCCGCGAACGUCUCGUGUUUCCCAGCUACUGCAGUGUCACAAUCCUGUGUGCAAUCCUUGUCAGAACUGAUAAUGUGGCCCAUCACAUACCAUUGUGUUUGCAAUAAAAAUAUUUAUCCAAGCCGGGUGCGGUGGUUACCGCGUGAAGCCUGGGCCACGACUGCCGCUUCAUGUCACCACCUGCUCCUUCCCAGAGUUAAGGAUCUGGUCGCUGCUUUCUGCCUAGAGUGGUAUUUCUGACGAUGUUAGGGAACCUUUGUCUGACUGAGUUCCCACUUGUGUUAUCUGAUUGUCUUCUUCGGUAUUUUUAUUGAUGCAUUUGGGCAGGUGAGUUUGGAAGCUGCUGGAAUGCAAAUUGGGUUGAUGGAAGGAAUUUUUUUUUUCUUUCAAAAUCAUUUCUGUGAUAUUAUUUGGGGUGUGUGUGUGUGUGUGUGUGUGUGUGUGUGGUUUUUUUUUUUUUUUUCUAAUCGGCUAAUUAAGACAGCAAACCCAAGUAGACCACCUACUGCUGGCCCCUGCUAUCAGGUGCUUUCCCUCUGACCAUCUAAUGGUCACCGUCUCUGCCUUUUUAUUGGUAAAGGAGAAAGAUUAAUUGGCCUCAUCUCUGUCUCGCAUUGUAAUUAUUGUUCUCUCCGUGACAUCACCUCUAAUGUACGAGGAACAUUUUUACUUCACGCAAGCUCUACAUCGAGCUCAGCCCUUCAAAACUUGAACGUUUUGGCUCCCAAAUUAAGUACCCUGCAGACCUUUGCUGAGUGCCUCGUCUGUUCCAGAUGAGACACACAAAGAUAAGUAAGAUCUGCUCCCUGCCUGCAAAGGGCUUGUAACCCAUGUGGGAAGAUAAGACAUCUAGAGGAAGGAAAAAAACAACAACAACAACGAUAAGACAGAGCAUGAUCUUUGUAUAAGAGAAAUGCCAAGUAUUCUGGGAAUUUGAAGGAAGUAGUAACAUUUUGAAAUCGCCCCUCAGGAGGAGGUGACAUUUUAGUCUGGACGUUGGGAUAAGAGUAAGAUUUCAGUCGAUGGCAAUGUGGGCCGGGCGUUCUAGAUGGAAUCCUAGCCAAGAAAGUCCUUCACAGGCUCUACAAUCACAUGCUGGGAGAAGAGUAGCGUGAGAGAUUUAAAAGGUGUGUUGGGGGCGCCUGGGUGGCUCAGUCGGUUGAGCGUCCGACUUCGGCUCAGGUCACGAUCUCGUGGUUCGUGGGUUCAGGCCCCACGUCCGGCUCUGUGCUGACAGCCCAGCUUCGGAUUCUCUGUCUCAUUCUCUCCCUGCCUGCCUCCCUCUCUCUCUCUCCCUCAAAUAAAUAAGCAUUAACAAAUAAAUAGCCAAAUAAAAGGAGUUGGAGGCAGAUUGUGGCAGCCAGACGGAAGUCCGUGACCACCGUCAGUGCUGAGCAGGCCUCCCAGCGCAUGUGGUGAAGGGCCUCGGAGUCCGAGGGGUCUGGAGCCGGGCAAGUUGCUGAGUCUCUUGAAUCUCUGUUUCCUCUUCUCAGAAGGUGGAGGAAAUGGUAGAAACAUGAUUGUGAAGAUUAACUGUGAUAAGUGCAUUUUAAAAGUCAUGCAACAAACCUUCAAUAAAUGAAGGCUAAGUUUGUAUUUUCUGCCAAUCCUCAAUAAUUUCAUGAGCUAAGUAUGAUUUAUGCUGGAGGAUACGGAGGCAAAGAGAAGCUUGGGAAUUUGCCCGCAGCCUCACUUCUAAUAAGUGAAGGGAGCAGAAGUUGGAACCCCUGUCCCUGUGAUUCACUCCUCCUGUAUGGCAUUGCCUACACGGAUGAGGAGAGGUCCGGACUUUAUGUUCUAGAAAAACAGGGAGCAAUUAGAGUUUUGAGCAAGGGAGUGACACCAGGAGAAACUGCUUCAGGAACACGUGUCCGGACGGCAUGAGGUGGGGUAGUCUGAGGGUGGAGGCAGAGAAGAGGACAGGACGUGCGUGCGGGAGUCCCGUAAGUGCCACCACAUCCCCAGGGAGAGGAGCAUCUCUCUGUGAACAGAAAGUAGGUCAAAGAUUCAAGAGCUACCGUGGCACCUGAAUGAAUAAGAUGAUUGUAAAGGAGAAAGAAACAAAUGUAGGACCAAGGUUUCCAGCCUCAAGAGAUGCGGGGCCCCAGCUUUGGGAGUGGGGGUGACGAGUCUGGGCGUAGACAUGCUGCACUUCAUCAGGUAGCUGGAAGCCUGGGUCAGGACCCAGGGAUUAGUCAGUCAGGAACGUGUGGGUGAGAGUUGGUGCUGAGAGAGUUGAUCGGGUCACCAAGAAGGGGAGAGGUUUGGGGGAAUCCGAAGAGGAGACGGAGGGGGACAGGCGGGGACCAGAAGGGGGCGCACAGUUGCACUGACAGCUGAAGAGUUGAAAAGUAGAGAUAAGGAGAGGGCUGGCGGCAGGGUGAGGCACAGGGUGCUUAGUCCAGGGCUGAGAAGAUCCGAGGUUUGCCCCUGAGGACAGAGGCGGGAGGCGUGUGGAUUAGAGGAGCCCUGUAAAUUCCCUGGAGGUCCAAACUGGACGGCGCGGUGCCUCUCAGACAUCCACAACCCUGAGAUAAGAGGGGGAGAGCCGGGUUCGGAGUUCUGAGGGCUCCUUGGGGAUCGGAGGCUGGGUUUCCUCCUUCGAUCCCAGAUGGCAGCUGGCAGUUGGCAAAGGUUCCCCCGAACACCAACCCCGCAAAUGCCCUGGAGUUGGCAUAGGCCCGGCCAUGCGGAUGGGUGUCGGGGAUGGUCUACGGAAGUUUAGGGACAUUGUUUUGGAAAGUUCAGCUCUUCUGUCCUCACACGGUCUUCGCCGAUCUGUCCAUCUUGCAGAGUCACUGAAUGAAGUUAGCCGUUUUUGCAAACCGGCCCUUGGGAUAAACCAUGACAAUAAAAUUGAUGACGUUUACUGUA
RNA transcript from Felis catus (domestic cat), 6344 nucleotides. It is a transcript of the gene named centrosomal protein 112, with no coding region annotated. The record is from RefSeq and is a predicted model, not a curated record. The transcript is spliced from 28 exons. Lineage: Eukaryota; Metazoa; Chordata; Mammalia; Carnivora; Felidae.